GACGAACGCAGGCGGCGUGCUUAACACAUGCAAGUCGAACGGAAAGGCCCUGCUUUUGUGGGGUGCUCGAGUGGCGAACGGGUGAGUAACACGUGAGUAACCUGCCCUUGACUUUGGGAUAACUUCAGGAAACUGGGGCUAAUACCGGAUAGGAGCUCCUGCUGCAUGGUGGGGGUUGGAAAGUUUCGGCGGUUGGGGAUGGACUCGCGGCUUAUCAGCUUGUUGGUGGGGUAGUGGCUUACCAAGGCUUUGACGGGUAGCCGGCCUGAGAGGGUGACCGGCCACAUUGGGACUGAGAUACGGCCCAGACUCCUACGGGAGGCAGCAGUGGGGAAUAUUGCACAAUGGGCGGAAGCCUGAUGCAGCAACGCCGCGUGCGGGAUGACGGCCUUCGGGUUGUAAACCGCUUUCGCCUGUGACGAAGCGUGAGUGACGGUAAUGGGUAAAGAAGCACCAGCUAACUACGUG
This 468-nucleotide ribosomal RNA is filed under the name uncultured bacterium. RNAcentral's name for it is "partial 16S ribosomal RNA". It matches the Rfam family "Bacterial small subunit ribosomal RNA", at positions 28 to 507 of the family's 1533-position model. The record is from RNAcentral.